This is an RNA transcript of Gopherus flavomarginatus (Mexican gopher tortoise), 992 nucleotides long. It is a transcript of the gene named inner mitochondrial membrane peptidase subunit 1, with no coding region annotated. The transcript has 7 exons. The record is from RefSeq and is a predicted model, not a curated record. NCBI's taxonomy places the organism in Eukaryota, Metazoa, Chordata, Testudines, Testudinidae.
GGCCAGCUGCACAACAGUAACACUGUGCUAUGCUUCGAGAUGUCAUGGGAAAAACCUUUCGACUUCUGGGGUAUACCAUUCAAUAUGGCUGCAUAGCACACUGUGCCUUUGAGUACCUUGGAGGAAUUGUUGUGUGUUCUGGACCUUCAAUGGAACCAACAAUUCAAAAUUCUGACAUUGUCUUUUCGGAGAAUCUUAGCCGCCAUUUUUAUUGCAUUCAGAAAGGUGAUAUUGUAAUUGCAAAAAGCCCAAAUGACCCAAAAUCAAAUAUCUGUAAAAGAGUAAUUGGCUUGGAAGGAGACAAAGUCUGUAUAAGCAGUCCUUCAGAUUUCCGUAAGAGUCACAGUUAUAAUAUUCUUCUUGGAGGGCAGUCCAAAGCCUGGGCUCAGAGCAAAGAUUUGGUCUGCCUUCAGUUGCUAUGGAGACAGGAACACUCAUUGACGUGGAAGGUUUAUAAAGAAAAUUCACAGAUGAUUCCACCUUUGUUCCUGUUGUACAUAGCACAUUACUCCUCAGCUGUUCCCACAGAAAUCAAUACAGGCACCUCAUACACAAAACAGAAUUGAAGUCGAGGAGACUACUUGAAUGCUUUGGAAGCAGUCACUCUGGGUUCCCCACAGAAGGGUGGUCCUGGUCCCAAGCUGGCUGUCAAUCUUUGUUCUGCCUCCAGCCAACAGGAAGAAUUACUAGUAUAUUACCCUAUAAUACAGACUGUCACAUAUGGAGGGUAUUAAAAAGAUUGAGAAUAAGAAGGAAAUCUUCCUAUUGCGGUAUCCUCAUCUCAAUUAAAGAAUUAAAAGAUAUGGCCUCUGAAUGAUUUUGGAUUUCUGCGUGCUAGCCCCAAUGGUCACAGAUUUUUGGAUGAUUAAGAGAACUAAUAAGUGAAUUCUGCCAACUUACUUAACUGUCUUACAAUGCUUUAAUAGCUUUUUUUACUGAUUGAAUGAAACGAUGUAUUUGUAUUUACAAUAAUAAACAUUGUGACUUUUUGA